CCUGCUCUCUGGAGGAGUUACAGGUAUGGCUGCUAUGUCACAUUUGUUUUACUAGGUGGCAGAGAGGAGAAACGCUAUAGCAAUACUCAAUAUUUUAACCUACGAACAUCUGAUUGAUUAAUUACCUAACAUU
Small nucleolar RNA from Mus caroli (Ryukyu mouse), 133 nucleotides. RefSeq annotates it as small nucleolar RNA SNORA17. Lineage: Eukaryota; Metazoa; Chordata; Mammalia; Rodentia; Muridae. The record is from RefSeq and is a predicted model, not a curated record.